GAACGAGACCUUAACCUGCUAAAUAGUUAGGCCAACGUUUGUUGGUCGUCAACUUCUUAGAGGGACUAUUGACUAUUAGUCAAUGGAAGUUUGAGGCAAUAACAGGUCUGUGAUGCCCUUAGAUGUUCUGGGCCGCACGCGCGCUACACUGAUCAAGUCAACGAGUUUACAACCUUGGCCGGAAGGUCUGGGUAAUCUUUUGAAACUUGAUCGUGCUGGGGAUAGUCCAUUGCAAUUAUUGGACUUCAACGAGGAAUUCCUAGUAAGCGUGAGUCAUCAGCUCGCGUUGAUUACGUCCCUGCCCUUUGUACACACCGCCCGUCGCUACUACCGAUUGAAUGGCU
This 344-nucleotide ribosomal RNA is filed under the name uncultured fungus. RNAcentral's name for it is "SSU rRNA". It matches the Rfam family "Eukaryotic small subunit ribosomal RNA", at positions 1333 to 1698 of the family's 1831-position model. The record is from RNAcentral. Lineage: Eukaryota; Fungi.